AUACGUAGGGUGCGAGCGUUGUCCGGAAUUACUGGGCGUAAAGAGCUCGUAGGUGGUUUGUCGCGUCGUCUGUGAAAUUCCGGGGCUUAACUCCGGGCGUGCAGGCGAUACGGGCAUAACUUGAGUACUGUAGGGGAGACUGGAAUUCCUGGUGUAGCGGUGAAAUGCGCAGAUAUCAGGAGGAACACCGGUGGCGAAGGCGGGUCUCUGGGCAGUAACUGACGCUGAGGAGCGAAAGCAUGGGUAGCGAACAGGAUUAGAUACCCUGGUAGUCCAUGCCGUAAACGGUGGGCGCUAGGUGUAGGGGUCUUCCACGACUUCUGUGCCGUAGCUAACGCAUCAAGCGCCCCGCCUGGGGAGUACGGCCGCAAGGCUAAAACUCAAAGGAAUUGACGGG
Molecule: ribosomal RNA, 397 nt
Filed under: uncultured bacterium
Lineage: Bacteria
Description: partial 16S ribosomal RNA
Rfam family: Bacterial small subunit ribosomal RNA
Source: RNAcentral